AUUCAUUUGACGAGUCCCAAAGAGGACGAAACGCACGCUCUGAAU
Molecule: non-coding RNA, 45 nt
Filed under: Schistosoma mattheei
Lineage: Eukaryota; Metazoa; Platyhelminthes; Trematoda; Strigeidida; Schistosomatidae
Source: RNAcentral